Molecule: long non-coding RNA, 508 nt
Organism: Bactrocera tryoni
Lineage: Eukaryota; Metazoa; Arthropoda; Insecta; Diptera; Tephritidae
Exons: 4
Source: RefSeq, a predicted model, not a curated record
UUGUACGAAAAUUUUAAAAUUGUAUCGUGAAAAAAAAUGCUAAUGUCUCAAAAAGGCAAACAUGCGUUCCUUUCUGCUCCCCAGUGUGCAUUUGAACAUUCACACAAACAUAUGUACUACAUAAUAACUAACUCGCUUUACUACUGAGCUCCGUUGUAAUUUUAAGAGUGCCAAAUUAAGUAGCAAGACACCAAGAAAUCACGUUUUAAUUCAUAAAGAAGGGUGUGAGUUUAACUAGCAAAAGGAAAACAUUAAUUGUGAACUAUUGUACUUGUCUAAAUGUCUGUUCAUGUUUUCGAAACCGAUUUUUCUGCAGACGACAGUAUUGAAGAUCUGGACUUUAAUACUACUGGAAGUAAACGAAAGAGUUCAUUAAGUGCGAAAUCAGGACCGGCCCUAAAAAAAGUCCAUGUGAAUUCACAAAAAAUUAUUUUCAAAGAAGAAUUUUACACAGAAGUGGAAAAAAUUUCCGACAAGACAACUUGUGCUAAGUGCGUUGCAUGUCAUC